Molecule: ribosomal RNA, 1353 nt
Filed under: uncultured bacterium
Lineage: Bacteria
Description: bacterial SSU rRNA
Rfam family: Bacterial small subunit ribosomal RNA
Source: RNAcentral
AUUGAACGCUGGCGGCAUGCUUUACACAUGCAAGUCGAACGGCAGCGCGGGGCAACCUGGCGGCGAGUGGCGAACGGGUGAGUAAUAUAUCGGAACGUACCCAAGAGUGGGGGAUAACGUAGCGAAAGUUACGCUAAUACCGCAUACGAUCUAUGGAUGAAAGCAGGGGACCGCAAGGCCUUGUGCUCCUGGAGCGGCCGAUAUCUGAUUAGCUAGUUGGUAGGGUAAAGGCCUACCAAGGCUACGAUCAGUAGCUGGUCUGAGAGGACGACCAGCCACACUGGAACUGAGACACGGUCCAGACUCCUACGGGAGGCAGCAGUGGGGAAUUUUGGACAAUGGGCGCAAGCCUGAUCCAGCAAUGCCGCGUGAGUGAAGAAGGCCUUCGGGUUGUAAAGCUCUUUUGUCAGGGAAGAAACGGUGGAGGUUAAUACCUUCCGCUAAUGACGGUACCUGAAGAAUAAGCACCGGCUAACUACGUGCCAGCAGCCGCGGUAAUACGUAGGGUGCAAGCGUUAAUCGGAAUUACUGGGCGUAAAGCGUGCGCAGGCGGUUUUGUAAGUCUGUCGUGAAGCCCCGGGCUCAACCUGGGAAUUGCGAUGGAGACUGCAAGGCUUGAAUCUGGCAGAGGGGGGUAGAAUUCCACGUGUAGCAGUGAAAUGCGUAGAGAUGUGGAGGAACACCGAUGGCGAAGGCAGCCCCCUGGGUCAAGAUUGACGCUCAUGCACGAAAGCGUGGGGAGCAAACAGGAUUAGAUACCCUGGUAGUCCACGCCCUAAACGAUGUCUACUAGCUGUCGGGUUUUAAUUAACUUGGUAACGCAGCUAACGCGUGAAGUAGGCCGCCUGGGGAGUACGGUCGCAAGAUUAAAACUCAAAGGAAUUGACGGGGACCCGCACAAGCGGUGGAUGAUGUGGAUUAAUUCGAUGCAACGCGAAAAACCUUACCUACCCUUGACAUGUCAGGAAUCUUUGAGAGAUCAGAGAGUGCCCGAAAGGGAACCUGAACACAGGUGCUGCAUGGCUGUCGUCAGCUCGUGUCGUGAGAUGUUGGGUUAAGUCCCGCAACGAGCGCAACCCUUGUCAUUAGUUGCUACAUUCAGUUGAGCACUCUAAUGAGACUGCCGGUGACAAACCGGAGGAAGGUGGGGAUGACGUCAAGUCCUCAUGGCCCUUAUGGGUAGGGCUUCACACGUCAUACAAUGGUACAUACAGAGGGCCGCCAACCCGCGAGGGGGAGCUAAUCCCAGAAAGUGUAUCGUAGUCCGGAUCGCAGUCUGCAACUCGACUGCGUGAAGUUGGAAUCGCUAAUAAUCGCGGAUCAGCAUGUCGCGGUGAAUACGUUCCCGGGUCU